Molecule: non-coding RNA, 7604 nt
Organism: Tetranychus urticae (two-spotted spider mite)
Lineage: Eukaryota; Metazoa; Arthropoda; Arachnida; Trombidiformes; Tetranychidae
Source: RefSeq, a predicted model, not a curated record
UUGAUCAUUAAUUGUUAUUAAUGGUUAUCAUAUUGUUUCGCUUGAUAAUAAUCAAUGACUCUGGUGAUGAAGACAAACCCAUAGAAGCGAUUAGAAAAAUGAUAAAUGAUGUGCCAUAGGAUCUCAAUUUAUCUUUUCACUUGCCUCUACAACUGUUCAUUUUAUCAUUAUUAUUAUUAUUAUUUUGUGUAUUAUUAUUAUCAGUUUCAUCAUAAUCAUCAUCAUCAUUACUCUUAUUCUGCAGCAAAAAAAUACUCAACUGUUUGUCUCUAAACCUAUUUGUAAAUCUUCAACUGGCUCAUCGUCUUUUUGCAUGCAAAAAUUUUCUCCUUUUUUCAUAGCCAUCAUCAAACAUAAUGGUUAAUAGUUUGUAAGCUCAUUUUUUGUCAAAUUUAGUUAAUGGAUAGAGUCAUUUUUCAAUGUUAAUAUCAGGGAAAAAGGACCAAAAUUUAUAUUUAUGGCUAUAAUAGCGAUGAAAAAAUCUAACAAUCAAAUGUUAAAAUUGUUAUCAGCAGCUAAACAGCUCUCUAUUUACUUUGUUACCAAUUUGUUAAUUGUUUUACAAUUACACAACCAAAAUCAACAACAGGAAUAUUAUAUCAACAGAAAAUGAUGGAAACAAUUUGACACCAAAUUUUAAGGUUACAAUGGAGAAACCUGGAAAUUUUGUGGAAUGUUAAUUAAACUGUUAACUCAGUUAAAUUGAUUGUCCAAUGAGUCGAGAUGUUAAUCAAGAGUCCAGUGUGAGUCUUUUCUGGUAAAUACUGAUUGAACCAGAAAAAUACUCAACAAAUGAAGCCAAAAUGCGCCCCAAUAAGUAUAAAAAGGUUAAUUAAUGUAAUCAACUGGAGCAAAGAAAAUAAUUUAUUAACUCUUACUUUGUAAUAACAUACAAAGGACAAUGUUAACCACUAUCAUCACCCACAAUUGUGCAUCAUCAUCAGCAUUACAAUGAUCCUUUUUUGUCUUCUUUCAUCAUCACCAUCAUCAUCAGCAUCAACAUCAUCAACAUCAACUUGAUCCUCUUUGAAUCAACCAACUUUUAUGUACACUUUGUCUGCCAACUAUUUGGCAAGCAAUUAAUCUUUACUCAGCAUCUUGCAGAGAGAGAUCAUCUUGAUCAUCAUCAUCAUCAUCUUGAUCAUCACAAAAAAAAGAUGGAAAGAAAGGGAAAGAUUAUAAAUCAUGUCAAGUCGUCCAUCAUCCUCUGAACAAAGGAUCAUUUCUCUUACUUUCUCCAUCUAUCUUCUUUCUUCUUCAUCUUCAUCCUCAUCGUCAGCUUUUCUCUCUCUUUUUUUGUGUGAUUUUUCUUCUUCUCUCUUCAUUCCGAGUCAUUAAAUUGCAUCGGAAACACUGGUUGUCAUUGUUCUGGUUUAUAUGUAUAUCUCUUCAACUCAUCAUCUUUUGGACUGCAGUACAUUAAUUCAAAGGAGACAAAGGAAUAAUAAGACUCAUAAGGAGAUUGACAAGGAUAUUCAAUAGGAAGGUUAAAUUGGUGAUUCAAAAGGAGGCUCAAAAGGAAUAUGGAAAAGAAAGAGAAACAAAUCUUGGAUAAUCCAGUUGAGCUUUAAGCCGAUAAACGGAAUUAGCUUGGAGAGAAGAAACAAAAUCAACUUGAAAGUGGAAAGUACAAAACUGUAACGUAUAAGACUUAUACUGACAAAGAUGAAAAGUGGAAAAGAAAAGGAAAAGUCCUCUUCAACUCAACAUCAACAAGACUUCAUCAUCUCUCUCUCUCUCUCGUUCAUCUCCAUUGUGUACAUUUAAGGUUGACGGUUUGAUUGGCAAAAGAUUGUUUUCCAAUUUAAUGUUGACAAUACAGAGCAAGCUUCCUCUUUUCCAUCUUUUCUUGUACCUGCCUAUGUAAGUGUUAGUAUGUGUUUUCGUGUGUGUGUGUGUGGCUGUUUGUCUGCAUGUCAAUAUGUUUUUUGUUUCUUGACUGUAUUUUGUUACGGAAAUUACCUGGUUACUUUCUUACAUUGUAUGCAGUUUUGUUGAACGUUUAAGAUAACAACACAGAUUUUAAGCUGCUUGAGCCAAUUCAUUGUGUAGUAAGGAGAAGAGAUUAAGGAAAAAAGACAAGUAGAUGAUGAUGGUGAUGAUGACGGUUAACAGACUGAUUAAAACACUUUGAGUUGAACCCUAACAUCGGAUUAGAUUGACAACUCAGUAAGAUGCUGUAAGUUUUCAAAAUGGUGCAUUAAAAAGGAUAAAGAUGAUGAUGGUGAUGAUGAAGACGAUGGUGAAUAGGGAUGAAAAUGAUGAAUGAUGUUUACCUAUGAGGAUAAAAGAUGAAGACGAAUUUGAUGCUAAUACUAAUUAUAAUGAUAAUGAUGGUGGUGAUAAACAACGUUCAAAACGCCUUUACAGAGCCAACAAAAUCGUGAAAAUGUGUCGUAAGUUGUUGCUGUUGAGAUUGUUUAGGAAGAUAACAGGUUUCUUUGGCCGAAAUGUUUCCCUUGAUCAUCAUGUGGAUGAUGAUGAUGAUGAUCAUCAUCUUUUACCAACCAGUUAAACUUGAAUGCUAUUCUGUUGUUCAACAAAAUGAUGUUCACACCAGGAAAGUGAUAGAUUCAUUGUUUUCCCUGGUAACCCUUAGCUUUUGAUGAUCCAUUUUAACUCCUACAGUAAAUAUACUUAUCUGUAAAAGAGAUUUUGCUUUAAAAUUGAUUGCCCGUCCAAAAAAGAAGUGAACAACAAGGAGAGGAGAGAAAAAGAAAGACACAAAAAAAGAAAGGAACGAACAGUUGAGUCAAGUCGAUGGUGCCUAGUGUGGUGAAGUUACAGUUGAGAUGGUGAUGUUGAUGAUGAUGAUGGUAAAAGUUGCAGUUUAACAGAUUAUUGAUUGUUGACUGUAGACAUCUCAUCCAUCAAGAUUACAAUUUGAAAUCGAUCAAUGUCCUCGGUCAACAGAUUCUAAUGGCUUGUCUCUCAUGAGGAAAACAAGUGAACCUCACUUUGGUCAUUCUCAUUAGUCUACUCCUCCAUUCUGGAUAAAUCACCAUCAUUAAUAUCAUCAUUCACAUCCCAAUCUAACCAGGCUAUAAUCAUUGUUGCCUGUGGCUGAUUUGAUAUCCAAGUGACCAAACUCUGGUUUAAUACAAACGUUGCAAAGCUGGUCAUCAUCACUAUAACUCGUUGAAUGCUGGCUAAAUAUCUUUAGAUGAUUGUUUGUUUUGUUUAUUGACUUAUUUUUUCAUGUGUAUUUUAUGAUUGUUUAUUGAUUGAUCCUGCAAGGUGAUAGAUUGGCAAAUAAUGGUAAUAAUGAAAUGUUAUAUGUAAUUAUUACUUGACUUUUUUUACCUUCUCUUGCUUUCUGUUAUUUGUUAUUGCCAGUGUUUUCACCAAACAAUCAAUCAAUAUGUUAAUAGUCAUUAAUAAGUACAAGUGAAAUUGAGAUUAGAUAAUAGUUAUAGUGCGAGAAAGAAAAGAUGAUAUUAAAUUUAAUUGAAUUUGAUGGUUGAAAUGUAUUAACGUUAAGUGUUGGUGAAGCAAAACAAACUAAUCAGCUAAACUUAUUUUAUUUUACCUAAUAACAUCGACAAUGUAUUUUAUUAUUAUUAUCCUGGAUUUGUAUUUGCAGAGUAUUACAUUUAAUGGUAGCUAAUUAUUUUUUUGCUAACCAUAAUCUGAUUGAUUUAAACAGUAUUUACUUGUUAACAUUCGGUUAUUAAGUUGAUGGCAACUUGAGAGAAGUUGAUGAUCUCUAAUGGUAAGUAAUAAAUUGAAAUAAUGAUGAUGAUUAUGUUGAUGAUUAGAGUUUAAGUCUUAAAUCAUCAACUGUCAUGAAUUUCACUUGAAAAAGAUUAAAAUAUUUCAAUAAAAAUUGGUAUCAACAAGGAUUAAUGUCAAUCAUUUUGUGAACAAAAAAAGCAUAAUGCAAAAGAUUCAGGUUUCCAUUGAGUUUACAGGCAAAGGAAAAUUAGAAUGAAAAUUAUCAAUAAUCCAAUGAUUAACUUUAAAUACCAGGUAAUCACAAUAUAUUGAAACCUUUUAAUAAUUGAAUUUUUAAUGCUGUUGCUAUUAAUAGAUGUAAUACUGAAGACACUUGCCAAAUGAACUGAAUUUGCAGUUUAUUGAAUCACUUGAGUAAUGGCAACAUUGUAAUGGAUAAUUUAUAUAUCAAUAGAGAGGAAAUGUGUUAAUUAAGCUGUUAAAUCUGUUUCACGAUUUACUUGGUUAAUUCAGUUGACAAUUGUAAUUAAAUUGUUUCUCUCGGUGAAUUGAUAUUCUCACUUGUAGACUAUUUUCACCUUUUUAUUGGCUUUUCCAAUUACAUAUUCCAGGUGAGUAAAACACAGACACGUUUCCAUAUGUUGACUGUGUAACGCUGUAAAAUUAAGGUCUAACUUUAAUGAGAGACAACAAUUGAUUAAUGGUUAAUUUAUUCAAAUCUAAAAGGUAUUGUUGUGAGUGUGUUUUUUCAUUUGCACCUUUUCACGAUUACACGAGAAAAAAAAAAUGAGAAGCAUUCGGCUGAUUGAGAAGUUAACUUGUUUGAAGGUUACCUGUUAAAAUUGGUAAAAAUUAGAGGCGUUCAAUGUUGAUAAAAAUAUGAGAAGGUUGAAAGUUGAAGUUGUUGAUGAUAAUGAAGUAGAAGAUGAUGUUGAUGUUGAUGAUGAUGAUAAUGAUGGUGAUGGUGAUGAAGAAAUUGAAAGCAAAUCUUGAGUUAAAUCAGCGGGAAGUAAAAAUAAGAAACAUGGUUGAAGCUGUCAAAAAACGUGUUAAACAUGUCAAUAUGAUGAAAGGAAAUAAGGUUGAGCAUAUAACAUGUUUAACAAGCUUAAUUAUUGUUGAUUUAUCAAUCAAUUGAUUACUAAUAAGCUACAAUCGAAGCGAUAAUAUUUCAUGUUACCAGGUUAACAAUGAUAAUUGACAAUUAUUGCAAAUUUUGCUCAAAAAUUGUUGAUAAUUUUCAUGUUGUACCAACAAUUUUUAUCGACGAAUGAUCAUUUUAAGCUCUAACUUUUACGGCCACAGAAAGCAGUCGAUCUAAUUGAAAAUCGAAGUGAUCGGCUGUACAUUUUCUGAUUUUUCAUCAAAAGUUACAUCAUUGAAUUGAGUUUGAUGAAAAAAUCUGGUUCCAUAAUUGAACGAAAGGCGGCUAAAGUUUCAACUUUGAUCUCGAUUUUUUCGAAAACUAAACCUGAGUUUAAAAUUAUAUUUGCUCUAAUCAGUUUUGCUCUUAAAUGUCUUAGCGCAAAAGGUUUUUGCUCAAACUUUUUUGCUCAAAAUAACUCAAAUCGUUUCAUUUUCAUGUUUAAUUUCAGUGUUAAUUAUUGUUUUUAAAUUAAUAUUUGAUUUCCUCUGUUUUUGAUUUGGUUUACUUCAUCUAAAUCACCAUCCAAACUGAAAUAUUAUCAACACUGGUUUGGGAUUGAAAGUCAACAACAGCUUUAACAUCAUGUUCAAGUGGAUAAUUGAAUAGUUGAAUAAGAAACAAUCAAACUGUCAACAUAAUUAUUUAAGUUACAAGAGGUACAAUUAAGUUGGGAAGUAAACAAAAGCAACACCUCAGCACCUCGAAGGAAAAUUGUUGGUGAUGUCAGGGGAAGAAAGAAAAUAUCAUCGAAAUAUGAAGGCGUUGGAAGAUAAAAAAUGGUAAAGAUAAUGAUUAUGAUAAAAAAUGAUGAGUAAAUCAAAGGAGAAGAAAAAAGUUGAGGUGAUUUAUCUGACAAGAAGGUUGAACCCAAAUCACACCUUGUUACUCAGUUUGAUGUUCAUUAAAAAGGGCUGAUGAUAAAGAGAUGAAGAAUGAGCUUGAGAUGAAUGAAAAUUAUGGUCAUGACUAUGAUUAUGAUGAUGAAGGUUUGGACAUGAAGUAACAAUUUGAUGAAUUGAAUGACUGAUGAAGCCAAUUGGAACCAGAAAAGCUCAAUGAUAAAUCCAUUCUUUUUCAAUCAUUAACAUGUUAUUCAUCUUUUGCUUAAUCUAAUUGACUGAAUAACUAUUGAAAAGUCUAACAAGUUAAACUUGAUUAUGAUUAUGGUGAUGAGAAAAUUCUGGCCACCCAUUGUUUAAUCUCAAUCUUAAUCAUCACCAUUCCCAUCAAUUGAUGAACAUCAUUUAUCCAUCCAAUUGUAACCUUAUCAUUCUAAUUUCCAUUUUCACCGAUCAUUCAACCCAUUUUGCUGAUAAUUCAAUACAUAACCAGAUGAUAAUGGAAGGAUUUUUUUCUUGAAACCUCCAAUAGAUAUUAAUCAACAAAUUGGCGUUUCUUCACGACUCUUCAAGAUGACAGCAUUGCUGUGAUUCAAAUGACUCUGGUCAAGUAUCGAUAACAAUGAAUAACUUGACUUUUUAAUCAAAUUAAAAGAGUAACGAUUGUGAGAUGAUUAUGACUAGUCCAUCGACAGCUUCGGAGCAAUUCAACUGAUUAAUUCCAUGGUUUCUCUGUUUGGAUUAUACAUGGCAAUUCAAACUCUUCACGUUUGGUCCAACAGCUCAUAUUGGAACUGUAUGCUUUGAGAUUUGGAGGGCGAAAUUUCAAGAUCAGUUGUUGAUUCCAAAACGACCUUUAAAGACCAUUUUCAGGUUGUUUGUUCAUCUGAUUGGAUCAGUCCUGUGAAACUAUCAACAUGAUUAUGAACAUGAAUACGAGUGAGGAUAAUUGAUGGCUAAAAUGGAUGAUGAAUAUGAAUGGUUAAUAUGGAUGAUAAACUUUGGUUGUUAAACUUGGAUGUAACUUAUGCAGUUUGCUGAAUAAGAUGAAUUCUUGGUGAAUUAACUUUCCUACUUUUUGUUGCUGUUGAUAAAUUAAGUUGGCGUUAAGUUAUUCAAGGAAUUUACAGGAAUCAUUCAAGAUUAUUAUGUCCACAAUAAUAAUAGUUAGAUAAUCAUCAUGCCUACCCAAAAAUUCUUGCCUGGUAAAUCCACUAUUAUUAAAUUGUAUUAAUUUGGCCUGAUAAUCACCAGCAACAACAGUACCCUCAGCAUCACUUUUUAUUGUACAGGAAUAACUGAAAGUCAAUUCUCACCCUCUUAACCCAUCACUGAUCAAUUUGAAUAGGAAACAAUAAUCUCACAAGUUUUUCUGGUUAGGUUAACAUGAAAAGGUUGAUCCUGUUUUUUUUCAUUUGCCUCUGUUAACCAACUAACAAGGGAAUAUAUUUAUUAUUGUUGAUUUUUUCACUAUUUACUUUCUUAAUAGUCAAUAAUUUAACACUUGAUUAUACCACCACCGCCAGUAAGCAAGUUAAUUGUGAACAAAUUGCUGUUCCCUAUUAACUUUCAAGAUUCCUUUGGGUUGUUGAGCCUUAGCAAAGUAUCUGGUAACUCAAUGUUUACUCAACUCUGUUGAUUUAGCUUUUUUUAAUCUCUUCUUCAUGUUAAUUUAAUUUAAUGAUGAAUACAAGCAAACAAAAAGGUUCACACUUUUUUUUAUAUACCAGGAAUUUAAUCAACAGGAAUUUCAAUCAAAAAAUCAUUGAUACUCUCAGAUUUUUUAGGUUUCCUAUUCAUGAUAUUACAUGGAGCAAGUGAAGGCUUACAAGAAAUAUUUUUUAAAUAAACGCAAAACGUUUAAUUGCUGCAUUAAUAGUAUCAUUAACUUAAGGUAACAUUUUGAAAUGAAAUAACAACAAAUCGUGAGUCUGAGUUGAUAA